AAUGCCACUCCCCGACUAGGACCAGCAUAGUCUUAGGGAGAAAGCAUGCUAGGAAUUGGAGUUGUGUCCUCAAUUUCUUCAAGGACUUGAGCAUUUCUUCUUACACUAGAAUGUCUCCUGUUUAGAGAGUUUAUAGGAUUUCUCAAGGCCAUUUUUGCAUACUUAACAGCUCUUGACAACGGUAGAGAGUCUAAAUCUACACUUUCAGGGGGUUCCAACUCCACCACUCGAUGAGCCAAAGAUAGAGACAAAUCAUUAAUGAUCCAGUAAGCAACAUGAAACCUUGUAAUUUUGGGGUCAACGGUAG
Molecule: long non-coding RNA, 307 nt
Filed under: Cucumis sativus (cucumber)
Lineage: Eukaryota; Viridiplantae; Streptophyta; Magnoliopsida; Cucurbitales; Cucurbitaceae
Description: long non-coding RNA (CSAT_LNC002987)
Source: RNAcentral